GUUAACGCUGGCGGCGUGCCUAACACAUGCAAGUCGAGCGAAGAGUACCAGAGUACCGGGCUCUUAGCGGCAGACGGGUGAGUAACACGUAAACAAUCUGCCCUCGAAUGGGAGACAACCAAGCGAAAGUUUGGCUAAUACCCCAUACAAUCCUCUUGAGGCAUCUCAAGGGGAUGAAAGGCCCGCAAGGGUCGUUCGAGGAGGAGUUUGCGGCCUAUCAGCUAGUUGGCGGUGUAACAGACCACCAAGGCUAUGACGGGUAUCCGAUCUAAAAGGAUGAACGGACACAAGGGCACUGAGACACGGGCCCUACUCCUACGGGAGGCAGCAGUGGGGAAUUUUGGACAAUGGACGAAAGUCUGAUCCAGCGACGCCGCGUGAAGGACGAAGGUUUUCGGAUCGUAAACUUCUUUUAUAUGUCAAGAAAAUGACGGUAGCAUAUGAAUAAGCACCGGCUAACUCCGU
Molecule: ribosomal RNA, 465 nt
Filed under: uncultured bacterium
Lineage: Bacteria
Description: bacterial SSU rRNA
Rfam family: Bacterial small subunit ribosomal RNA
Source: RNAcentral